Long non-coding RNA from Arachis stenosperma, 1208 nucleotides. RefSeq lists it as uncharacterized. The transcript is spliced from 6 exons. Lineage: Eukaryota; Viridiplantae; Streptophyta; Magnoliopsida; Fabales; Fabaceae. The record is from RefSeq and is a predicted model, not a curated record.
AGCUUUCUUCAUGGUGCCCUGCCAAGAUCACCACAGCUUUCGUGAGCGCCUCACUCAGCCGAGGAGAAUGUUAUCGCGUUAGAGAGCGUCGCCGUGUUGUGCGUUCCGGAGAGUGUCGCUACGUUGUGCAUAAGUGCAUUCUAGAGAGCGUCACUGUAUUCUAGAGAGCGUCGCUGUCUUCCUGGUUUCAUAGAGCAUUGCCGUCUUUCUCGUUCUUCAUAAACGUCGUCAGCUUCUCCUUUUCGUCUUUAUCUCCAUCAAGAGACGUCAUUUUGAACAAGUACAAGUGGCUGUUCUGAUCAUUCAUCAUUCUUAAUUGAAGGCUGUGGCUUUGGAUUCAGAUGACGCAGAUGAUGCAGAACCUUAGAGUAUAUUUCAUAAAGCUGUUGGGAUUGCAAAUUCUAUUUAAGAAGUUUGCAAUAAGUUGAUUGCUAUUUUCAUCGAUAUUGUCCAAAAGAAAAUGCACAUGAAAUUUUGCAAGAGUACAUCCAUAAAAGAAGCCUCAGACUCUAAUAAUGAACACAUCCUGAUAUCCAUUUUGGAUUCCAAAUGUUCUUGAGUUGGUGGAGUCGGUUCUAAGACCCCCACCGAAUGGACUUCCUUCCCUCCUUGACGCGAGUCAUACGUUUCAGUUCUUGAGAAGAGAAGCAUGUUGUUAGGGUUUAUAGAUUCAAUUUCAAUCAACGCCAUUUUCUCAUCUUCCUCUGCUGUAUCUCUGGUUCGCCUAUUCUCGCCGCCGCAACACGCAUCAGACGCCGCCGCUCCCUGCGUCCGCCGCCGCCGCGCAGGACUCUGCUAAACGCUUGGAGAAUCUACCAAGUGAGUUGGCUUCUGCAGUGCCCCAGACCAUCACUGUCACCCCAGAAGAGAAUGAGGCUAUUCAAAGGCUUCAAGAUAUGGGAUUUGAUAGAGAUCUUGUGUUGGAGGUAUUCUUUGCAUGCAACAAAAACGAGGACCUGGCAGCCAACUGUCUUUUGGAUCACCAGAAUGAAUUUGAAGACUAAGAAGAUGGUUCUGUUUCAUCUUCACCAGCUAUGCUUCUUUGAUGUCGUUGCUUAUCAUCUGAACUCUUUGGAGAAGUGGCAAUGUCAAUACUUAUUUGCUUAGCUUUAUUAUUGAUCCUUGUGAACCAUACUGCCUGUAAAUUAUUAAUUUCAGACCAUUGACUGGAAAAUAUAGAUGCCAAGAAAUCGAUAGGUGCUUUUAUU